GCGGCAGGCCUAACACAUGCAAGUCGAACGGUAACAGGAAGCAGCUUGCUGCUUUGCUGACGAGUGGCGGACGGGUGAGUAAUGUCUGGGAAACUGCCCGAUGGAGGGGGAUAACUACUGGAAACGGUAGCUAAUACCGCAUAACGUCGCAAGACCAAAGAGGGGGACCUUAGGGCCUCUUGCCAUCGGAUGUGCCCAGAUGGGAUUAGCUAGUAGGUGGGGUAAUGGCUCACCUAGGCGACGAUCCCUAGCUGGUCUGAGAGGAUGACCAGCCACACUGGAACUGAGACACGGUCCAGACUCCUACGGGAGGCAGCAGUGGGGAAUAUUGCACAAUGGGCGCAAGCCUGAUGCAGCCAUGCCGCGUGUAUGAAGAAGGCCUUCGGGUUGUAAAGUACUUUCAGCGGGGAGGAAGGGAGUAAAGUUAAUACCUUUGUUCAUUGACGUUACCCGCAGAAGAAGCACCGGCUAACUCCGUGCCAGCAGCCGCGGUAAUACGGAGGGUGCAAGCGUUAAUCGGAAUUACUGGGCGUAAAGCGCACGCAGGCGGUUUGUUAAGUCAGAUGUGAAAUCCCCGGGCUCAACCUGGGAACUGCAUCUGAUACUGGCAAGCUUGAGUCUCGUAGAGGGGGGUAGAAUUCCAGGUGUAGCGGUGAAAUGCGUAGAGAUCUGGAGGAAUACCGGUGGCGAAGGCGGCCCCCUGGACGAAGACUGACGCUCAGGUGCGAAAGCGUGGGGAGCAAACAGGAUUAGAUACCCUGGUAGUCCACGCCGUAAACGAUGUCGACUUGGAGGUUGUGCCCUUGAGGCGUGGCUUCCGGAGCUAACGCGUUAAGUCGACCGCCUGGGGAGUACGGCCGCAAGGUUAAAACUCAAAUGAAUUGACGGGGGCCCGCACAAGCGGUGGAGCAUGUGGUUUAAUUCGAUGCAACGCGAAGAACCUUACCUGGUCUUGACAUCCACGGAAGUUUUCAGAGAUGAGAAUGUGCCUUCGGGAACCGUGAGACAGGUGCUGCAUGGCUGUCGUCAGCUCGUGUUGUGAAAUGUUGGGUUAAGUCCCGCAACGAGCGCAACCCUUAUCCUUUGUUGCCAGCGGUCCGGCCGGGAACUCAAAGGAGACUGCCAGUGAUAAACUGGAGGAAGGUGGGGAUGACGUCAAGUCAUCAUGGCCCUUACGACCAGGGCUACACACGUGCUACAAUGGCGCAUACAAAGAGAAGCGACCUCGCGAGAGCAAGCGGACCUCAUAAAGUGCGUCGUAGUCCGGAUUGGAGUCUGCAACUCGACUCCAUGAAGUCGGAAUCGCUAGUAAUCGUGGAUCAGAAUGCCACGGUGAAUACGUUCUCGGGCCUUGUACACACCGCCCGUCACACCAUGGGAGUGGGUUGCAAAAGAAGUAGGUAGCUUAACCUUCGGGAGGGCGCUUACCACUUUGUGAUUCAUGACUGGGGU
Molecule: ribosomal RNA, 1452 nt
Filed under: uncultured organism
Description: 16S ribosomal RNA
Rfam family: Bacterial small subunit ribosomal RNA
Source: RNAcentral